Molecule: long non-coding RNA, 1419 nt
Filed under: Piliocolobus tephrosceles (Ugandan red Colobus)
Lineage: Eukaryota; Metazoa; Chordata; Mammalia; Primates; Cercopithecidae
Description: lncRNA (ENSPTEG00000007222.1)
Source: RNAcentral
AUUUAGGAUAACAUUUGACCGAAACCGGUAAUAUAUAUGUGACAACACAUGAACUCUUUAAUUAUUUACUUAAAAAAAAAAAAAAAAAAAAAAAAAAAAAAAAUCACCAAUGUAAUGAGUUUAUUUUUGUUUUUCUUUUAUAUUUUUCACCUAUUUCAUUCCUUGUAUUACUGUUUUCAAAGAUAUAAUAUAACAAAAAGUGACACACGCCUAAUAAAUAAUUAUCAUAGUAAAAAACGUGUUAAUAAUAAUAUCAGUUAUAUACACAAAAGGUACUCAUUUAACAAACAUGUAAAAAAGAGCCCAAAAUAUCAAUUGUUUUAUAAAAAUAAGAAAGAAAGAGAUAUUCUUGAGUCAGGUUAUUUAUAUCCAUUUGAUCAUUUAGAAAAAAAAAAAAAAAAAUUUCCUCCUGACCCUUAUGUAUCGACUGAUAAUGAUUUAAAAGAGACUUCUUAUGAAAUUUAUGAUGAUAACGUGAAUAAAGAUGAUUUGUUAACUGAUGACGAUGACGAUGCAAAGAAGUAUUUCGGAGAAUGCACAUUUAAUCGACCUUACACGAUGUCUCUGUUGGACGAUCCCUUAAGCGGGGUGAACGGAGACGCCGAUCCAGAUGGAGACACAUACGCUGGUGCAGACGUCGAUACAUAUGCGGAUCCAGAUGCAGAUCCAGAUGCGGACCCAGAUGUGGACCAAGAUGUGGACCAAGAUGCGGAUCAAGAUGCGGAUCAAGACGCGAAUACAUACGCCGAUAUAUAUGCAGAUCCAGAUGUCGAUACAUAUAUAGACAACGGAGAUAACAACGGAGAUAACAACGGAGAUAACAACGGAGAUAACAACGGAGAUAGCAACGGAGAUAGCAACGGAGAUAGCAACGGAGAUANNNNNNNNNNAGAUAGCAACGGAGAUAGCAACGGAGAUAGCAACGGAGAUAGCAACGAAACAAGUGAAGACAUAAAUAACGAAAUAUAUAGCGGUAAUGACACACUGGAUUGUAGUAAAGACGAUUAUACCCGACACAUCGACAAGAGCAAACUAAGUGGCAAACUAGCCAGCGGAAGUAAUAAGACAGAAAAUAGAAGCAGAAUAAACGUUAUUGUCCACGCGUCAGACAAAAACAAGGCAGAGUGUGAAAUAAUAAAAGAUCAACUGCACUAUUUGCUUCAUUCUGUUAUGGAUAAUAUUUUUAUUAAACAGUUUAAAUUGUGUGUUAAAUCUUUUAAUACAGUAUACCCAAAAGAAGAAAACAAUAUUAUUUAUGUUUCAUAUGAAUUUGAAAAAGAUGUUUAUUAUUAUAAAACAUCAAUUAGUUGCUUACAUGAUCUGAUUUUGUUUACUCAAAAAUUAAAAAAAGUUAUAGAGAAAAAAAUGAAUAUGAUAUUUAAAGAUGAAGAAGAAAAUGAAAGUAUACAAUAUAUUAAU